Molecule: ribosomal RNA, 497 nt
Filed under: uncultured bacterium
Lineage: Bacteria
Description: partial 16S ribosomal RNA
Rfam family: Bacterial small subunit ribosomal RNA
Source: RNAcentral
GAUGAACGCUGGCGGCGUGCCUAAUACAUGCAAGUCGAGCGACAGGACGAGAAGCCUGCUUCUCUGAUGUUAGCGGCGGAGGGGUGAGUAACAUGCGGAUAAACCACCUCAUUGACUGGGAUAACCUCGGGAAACCGGAGCUUAUUACGGCAUAUAUUUUACACCGCAUAGUUCAAAAGUGACAGACGGUCCUCCUGUCACUUAUAGAUUGCCCGGUGCUGCAUUAGCUAGUUGGUAAGGUAACGGCGUACCAAGGCAACGAUGCAUAGCCGACCUGAGAGGGUGAUCAGCCACACUGGAACUGAGACACGGCCCAGACUCCUACGGGAGGCAGCAGUGGGGAAUCUUCCGCAAUGGGCGAAAGCCUGACGGAGCAACGCCGCGUGAGUGAUGAAGGUCUUCGGGUCGUAAAGCUCUUUUAUUAGGAAAGAACAGAUGUGUAAGUAACUGUGCUCAUCAUGACGGUACCUAAACAGAAAGCCACGGCUAACUACGUG